GUACUUGCUUUGGCAGCACAUAUACUACAAUUGAAAUAAUACAAAUAUUAGCAUGGCCCCUAUGCAAGGUUGACAUACAAAUUCAUGAAGCGUUCUAUACUUUU
RNAcentral lists this small nuclear RNA (104 nucleotides) under Sus scrofa (pig). Lineage: Eukaryota; Metazoa; Chordata; Mammalia; Artiodactyla; Suidae. The record is from RNAcentral.